Molecule: long non-coding RNA, 2049 nt
Organism: Takifugu rubripes (torafugu)
Lineage: Eukaryota; Metazoa; Chordata; Actinopteri; Tetraodontiformes; Tetraodontidae
Source: Ensembl
AUGACUGACAGCAGAGGAGGUCCAGUCAGGGUCCAGUCAGAGUCCAGUCAGGGUCCAGUCAGAGUCCAGUCAGGGUCCAGUCAGGGUCCAGUCAGAGUCCAGUCAGGGUCCAGUCAGAGUCCAGUCAGAGUCCAGUCAGAGUCCAGUCAGGGUCCAGUCAGAGACCAGUCAGGGUCCAGUCAGAGUCCAGUCAGGGUCCAGUCAGAGUCCAGUCAGAGUCCAGUCAGAGACCAGUCAGGGUCCAGUCAGGGUCCAGUCAGAGUCCAGUCAGAGACCAGUCAGGGUCCAGUCAGGGACCAGUCAGAGUCCAGUCAGAGACCAGUCAGGGUCCAGUCAGGGACCAGUCAGAGUCCAGUCAGGGACCAGUCAGAGUCCAGUCAGAGUCCAGUCAGAGACCAGUCAGGGUCCAGUCAGGGACCAGUCAGAGUCCAGUCAGGGACCAGUCAGGGACCAGUCAGAGUCCAGUCAGGGUCCAGUCAGAGACCAGUCAGAGACCAGUCAGAGUCCAGUCAGGGUCCAGUCAGAGUCCAGUCAGAGUCCAGUCAGAGACCAGUCAGGGUCCAGUCAGGGACCAGUCAGAGUCCAGUCAGGGACCAGUCAGGGACCAGUCAGGGACCAGUCAGAGUCCAGUCAGGGUCCAGUCAGAGACCAGUCAGAGACCAGUCAGAGUCCAGUCAGGGUCCAGUCAGAGACCAGUCAGAGACCAGUCAGAGUCCAGUCAGGGUCCAGUCAGGGUCCAGUCAGAGACCAGUCAGAGACCAGUCAGAGUCCAGUCAGGGUCCAGUCAGGGUCCAGUCAGGGACCAGUCAGGGUCCAGUCAGAGUCCAGUCAGAGACCAGUCAGGGUCCAGUCAGAGUCCAGUCAGGGUCCAGUCAGGGACCAGUCAGAGUCCAGUCAGGGUCCAGUCAGAGUCCAGUCAGGGACCAGUCAGAGUCCAGUCAGGGUCCAGUCAGGGACCAGUCAGAGACGAGUCAGAGACCAGUCAGGGACCAGUCAGGGACCAGUCAGAGACCAGUCAGAGUCCAGUCAGGGUCCAGUCAGGGUCCAGUCAGGGACCAGUCAGAGUCCAGUCAGGGUCCAGUCAGGGUCCAGUCAGAGACCAGUCAGGGACCAGUCAGGGUCCAGUCAGAGUCCAGUCAGAGACCAGUCAGAGUCCAGUCAGGGUCCAGUCAGGGUCCAGUCAGGGACCAGUCAGGGUCCAGUCAGAGUCCAGUCAGGGUCCAGUCAGGGACCAGUCAGAGUCCAGUCAGGGUCCAGUCAGGGUCCAGUCAGAGUCCAGUCAGGGUCCAGUCAGGGUCCAGUCAGAGACCAGUCAGGGACCAGUCAGGGUCCAGUCAGAGUCCAGUCAGAGACCAGUCAGAGUCCAGUCAGAGACCAGUAAGGGUCCAGUCAGAGUCCAGUCAGAGUCCAGUCAGGGACCAGUCAGGGUCCAGUCAGAGACCAGUCAGGGACCAGUCAGGGUCCAGAGUCCAGUCAGAGACCAGUCAGGGUCCAGAGUCCAGUCAGAGUCCAGUCAGGGUCCAGUCAGGGUCCAGUCAGAGACCAGUCAGAGUCCAGUCAGGGUCCAGUCAGAGACCAGUCAGAGUCCAGUCAGGGUCCAGUCAGGGUCCAGUCAGGGACCAGUCAGAGUCCAGUCAGGGUCCAGUCAGGGUCCAGUCAGAGUCCAGUCAGGGUCCAGUCAGGGACCAGUCAGAGACCAGUCAGGGUCCAGUCAGGGUCCAGUCAGGGACCAGUCAGAGACCAGUCAGGGUCCAGUCAGAGUCCAGUCAGAGACCAGUCAGAGUCCAGUCAGGGACCAGUCAGAGACCAGUCAGGGUCCAGUCAGGGUCCAGUCAGGGUCCAGUCAGAGACCAGUCAGAGACCAGUCAGAGUCCAGUCAGAGACCAGUCAGAGUCCAGUCAGAGUCCAGUCAGAGACCAGUCAGAGUCCAGUCAGAGACCAGUAAGGGUCCAGUCAGAGUCCAGUCAGAGUCCAGUCAGGGACCAGUCAGGGACCAGUCAGGGACCAGUCAGGGUCCAGUCAGGGACCAGUCAGGGUCCCAGUCUCUGA